Molecule: RNA transcript, 2223 nt
Organism: Zea mays
Lineage: Eukaryota; Viridiplantae; Streptophyta; Magnoliopsida; Poales; Poaceae
Gene name: crossover junction endonuclease MUS81
Exons: 15
Source: RefSeq, marked validated
AAAACUUUUCAAAACCCGAUCGCAAACUCCAACACCCCUCGAAUCACCCCGCAAUGGCGGGCUCUCUCUUUCCCGCUCCGAAACAUUAAACCCUAGCUCCGCGCACCAUUUCCCGAAUCCCCAACCCAGCGAUCCGCCUCCAGCGCCGGGCCCCAAUCACUGUGCGACCACGAUGAGGCCGCUGCCGAAGAAACCAAAUGCAGCGCUGCCGGUGCCGAAGCAACUCAAGGUGCAUCACCCGGAAAAUGAGUCCCUCUCUCGUUUCUUCCUAGAGAAGUGGCGGGCGAUGAUGCAGGAGCCGGAUGGGCUCUCGCAGAACAACUACCUGGCCUUCGCCAACGCCAACCGCAGCCUCUGCUCCUCCAAGGAGCCAAUCCGGACCCUCAAGGACUUCUCGAACGUCAAGGGUGUGGGAACAUGGCUCAUAAAUCAUAUGAAAAGUUUCUUUGAAAAGUCGAGUCAGGAUUUAUCUCCUGCCAAAGGAAAGAAAGCAAAAGGGACAAAAAGUUAUUUGCCAAGGAAGAACACUGCUGCUUAUGCCAUACUAAUAACACUCCAUAGGGCAAAGACUAGCGGGAAAGAUUUUAUGAUGAAACAAGAGCUUAUUGAUGCUGCUGAAGCCAGUGGACUGUCACGAGACGCGAUUGGUCCAAAUAAAAGUAAAGCAAAACAGAGUUACGGGAAGGACUGGUACACUGGUUGGAGCUGCAUGAAGACACUUCUAUCCAAUCGACUUGUCACCAAGUGGAGUAACCCAGCAAAGUAUAUGCUAACACAAGAAGGGGAAGGCACUGCACGUGACUGUCUUUCACGGUCUGGAUUAGAUGAUUCUGCACGGCCUCUAACGAUAAUUGGUGCUCACAACACAUCUGCUAUGGAUCCUUCUGUUGCCAGGCACAGUCCUGAGCUUGUCAGCGACAGUUCUCUGACAAAAAAGAAGAGCAAUUGCUACCGUCAAGUUCAAGCUACUAAUUACGAAGGAAUCAUUUGUUGCGAUUCAGAUUCAGAAGAGCCAUGUGGAAAGGACAUUCCCCUAAAAGGCAUGGAGCCUAUUACUAGUUGUGGACCACCAGAUAUUUCUCGUCCAUUCCAAGGAACACCCAAACUGCAAUCUUCUACAAUGGGUUCUGCUAAACUAGCUAUGCCACCUCGUCGAGCCAAUGAAAACUUUCUUGAAGCCUAUGAAGUUAUUUUAAUAUUGGAUGACCGUGAAAAAUUCGGGUCUCGUUCAAGAAAAGUUGCUGAUAACAUUUGUUCCCUGAGCCAUUUUGCUGUGGAUGUCAGGCAAUUGCCUGUGGGAGAUGGUAUUUGGAUUGCCCGUCAUAAGGAAGAUCACACAGAGUAUGUUCUUGAUUUCAUUGUUGAAAGGAAAGAGGUUAUGGAUUUAGAUGGCUCAAUUGAAGACAACCGAUAUAGAGAUCAGAAAUUAAGGAUGAAGAAAUGUGGGCUGAGGAAGUUGAUAUAUCUUGUUGAAGGUGAUCUCAACCGUGCACCAAAGAGGGUUAAAACAGCGUAUGUGCACUGCUCAAGUCACCUGGGAGAUCAAUACUAUGCUGUUUCACCACUGAGAUUCUCGAUGGAUUUGAUGUUCAGAGAACUACUGGGUUUGCCGAUACCCAGAAGAGAUAUGUUGAUCUUACACGUUCGGUAAUAGCAUACUAUGAUGCAAGUUUCUCGAUCGUUGGUAAAGCUUCCCCUGUUUGCCCAACCUACGAUGACUUCAAGAGAAAGUGUUAUGAUCUUAAGAAGAAAACAGUGAGCGACAUAUUUGGCUGUCAGCUUAUGCAGGUACCACAAGUAACAGAAGAAGCUGCACAAGCUGUUGUAGAGCUCUAUCCAACCCCUUUGUUACUGGCAAAGGCAUACUCUAUACUUGGUGGCGAUACCUCUGCACAAGAGAAGAUGCUAAAGAAGAAGAACGAGAUGGUAAAUGCAGGAGCAAGCCGAAACAUAUUUCACCUUAUCUGGGGUGACGGAUGAAAAAUACUCUGGACUGGAACCAGUUGCGGGCCAACUGAACUUUGGUGGCUUAUGGUGUCACCGUCGUGGUGACCAUCUUUUGUGUCUCCGAGAUUUAGAGGCUCCCAUGUUCUAAAGCAAAUAGUGGCUCCAUAGAACACUAGGGAUCUAGAUUAGGAAGAGUUUCUCUCUACGUCGCGUCUAGAGAGUACUCUGCUGUGGUGUCGUGGUUGCACAGUGGAAUGAAGUGGUCCCUUGGAUUUA